CAGGGAUUUUAUAAAUGAAAAAUGAAAUAAUUUACCUGGGUCAUAGGAAUGAAUUUGCUUUGUCAUGUUUUUCAUUAAGUCUCCAGCACCUCAAGCGUAGCAAGUUUGUGGGUUUCUAAAGGCAUGCAGUUUUUCACACACACCUACUUCAAAGAAUUUGUCCGCUCGAACACAGCACAAUCAAGGAAAAAUAUUUUUUGGAGGCACAAGAGGAGCACAAGAACAAAGUGCCAUAGUUUUCAGAGGGAAGAAAUGGCCCAAAUCCAUGCAAUUAGGAAUGAAAAGGG
Heterocephalus glaber (naked mole-rat) is the source of this 287-nucleotide long non-coding RNA. The record is from Ensembl. NCBI's taxonomy places the organism in Eukaryota, Metazoa, Chordata, Mammalia, Rodentia, Bathyergidae.